This is a long non-coding RNA of Galeopterus variegatus (Sunda flying lemur), 487 nucleotides long. RefSeq lists it as uncharacterized. Lineage: Eukaryota; Metazoa; Chordata; Mammalia; Dermoptera; Cynocephalidae. The record is from RefSeq and is a predicted model, not a curated record. The transcript is spliced from 2 exons.
UGCCAGAUGCAGCUGUCCCAGUAUCGUAAGCCAAGGAAGCCCUGAUAUGACGUGUCCCCAGUGUAUGACCCCGUUGGAAAGCCUGCCAGUGUAACCCGACUGCUCACCAAAAGAGACCUUCUAAAAAGCCUCAGAUGACUUGCCGCUCCUUCACCAGCAGGCUCAUGAGUACUAACUUCACAUCCAAGUAUCCCCAGUCCUAUCUGCUUCCCAGUCUUGAGGAACUAAAAGGCAGCGUUAAUCAGAUACUCUUCCGUCUGCAACUUCUUGGCUGCUCAGGACUUUUGUCAGGGGAGGACUCCCUGCAGUCAUGCAUCGGACUUCAGUGACUCGGCUUCCACUAGAAUCUCAGCACACACGCUCAACCUUUACCCAGGAACGCGCUGUCCUCAGCCCUCACAGUUGCAGGCCCUCCACUGUACGUACCAGAAAUGUAUUUAACCUGGUGUGGAUGUGGAAAGAAAUAAACGUAAAUCUUGAAUUCAGA